Long non-coding RNA from Rhodamnia argentea, 417 nucleotides. RefSeq lists it as uncharacterized. The record is from RefSeq and is a predicted model, not a curated record. The transcript has 4 exons. Lineage: Eukaryota; Viridiplantae; Streptophyta; Magnoliopsida; Myrtales; Myrtaceae.
CUUUCGCGGGUCUCUCUCGGCUCUUAGUUCACUCUCCCGACCGCCUGCUUUCGAAAUGUAUUUGGCCGUGCUUUGGAAGAUCUUGUGAUGGCUUGACCUGCUCAGUUUGGUGGCACUGGCAUACAGAAGUCUCUUUUGGACCUAUAGGCCUUUGAUAGAUAAGAAACGUUGUGUAUCUAGAAUUAUUGCAGCCAGCCAUUGUUGAUUCUUGGAGUGGCGGAGCCAACUGUAAUUAUGUAUACUUCUUAUUUAACUUUGCUAAAGAUAGACUGGAAUUGGGAUCAAAGCUCUUUCUAGCGUGGACUGGAUGGUACAAUAUUCCUCUUUGUCCUGCAAAAAAAAAAAAAACAAUUUAAGUUCUGAAACUCUGUUAGGCAUCAGUUAUUCUUAUAAUUAUGCAUUACUUUUAAAAUUGCA